This 261-nucleotide ribosomal RNA is filed under the name uncultured bacterium. Its description in RNAcentral is "partial 16S ribosomal RNA". It matches the Rfam family "Bacterial small subunit ribosomal RNA", at positions 29 to 306 of the family's 1533-position model. The record is from RNAcentral.
AAUGAACGUUGGCGGCGUGGAUUAGGCAUGCAAGUCGUACGCUUCAUGUAGCAAUACAUGAGGAGUGGCGUAAGGGAGAGUAAUGCAUGGUUAGCUACCCUCGGGUCUGGGAUAGCGGCGGGAAACUGCCGGUAAUACCAGAUGAUAUCUUCGGAUCAAACGUGUGAAUCGGCCCGAGGAGGUGACCAUGUCCUAUCAGCUAGUUGGCGGUGUAACGGACCACCAAGGCUAAGACGGGUAUGGGGCGUGAGAGCGUGCCCC